ACGAGGCACAAUGGUGCAUGCCUGUAGUCCCAGCUACUCGGGAGGCUGAGGUGGGAGGACUGCCUGAGUCCAGGAGUUCUGGGCUGUAUGCGCUAUGCCGAUUGGGUGUCUGCACUAAGUUCAGCAUCAAUAUGGUGAUCUCCCGGGAGCAGGGGACCACCAGGUUUGCCUAAGGAGGGGUGAACUGGCCCAGGUUGGAAAUGGAGCAGGUCAAAACUCCAGUUCUGAUCAGUAGUGGGAUCACACCUGUGAAUAGCCACAGCACUCCAGCCUGGGCAACACAGUGAGACUCUGUCUCU
RNAcentral lists this signal recognition particle RNA (299 nucleotides) under Saimiri boliviensis boliviensis (Bolivian squirrel monkey). RNAcentral's name for it is "Metazoan signal recognition particle RNA (ENSSBOG00000002100.1)". It matches the Rfam family "Metazoan signal recognition particle RNA". Rfam says of the family: The signal recognition particle (SRP) is a universally conserved ribonucleoprotein. Lineage: Eukaryota; Metazoa; Chordata; Mammalia; Primates; Cebidae. The record is from RNAcentral.